CAGUAGCCACGGGAAUACGGGGGGGGCAAGUGUUAUUCGGAAUGACUGGGCGUAAAGGGCACGUAGGCGGUGAAAAGGGUGGAAAGUGAAAGUCGCCAAAACACUGGCGGGGUGCUUUCUUGACCAUUUCACUUGAGUGAGAUAGGGGAGAGUGGAAUUUCGUGUGGAGGGAUCAAAUCCUAAGAUAUAAGAAGGAACGCCAACCGCGAAGGCAGCUCUCUGGGUCCCCACUGACGCUGGGGUGCGAAAGCAUGGGGAGCAAACAGGAUCAGAUACCCGCGUAGUCCCUGUCUCUUAUAAA
RNAcentral lists this ribosomal RNA (301 nucleotides) under uncultured bacterium. RNAcentral's name for it is "partial 16S ribosomal RNA". It matches the Rfam family "Bacterial small subunit ribosomal RNA", at positions 509 to 810 of the family's 1533-position model. The record is from RNAcentral.